RNAcentral lists this long non-coding RNA (340 nucleotides) under Mus pahari (shrew mouse). RNAcentral describes it as "lncRNA (MGP_PahariEiJ_G0004959.1)". Lineage: Eukaryota; Metazoa; Chordata; Mammalia; Rodentia; Muridae. The record is from RNAcentral.
GGAAGAAGUAAAAUCAACCUAAUGCCAACCAGAAGAAUCAAAGGAGAAAAGAAAGAUGGAGGAAGAUGUCACAGUCAAGUACCAAACUAAAGUCAGGAGAUCAGAGCAUCAAUGGUAGAAGUCAAAAGCAUUGGAUGAAGGAUAACAUUUUCAGUGAUGAGUAAGUGACCUGGUGCCCUGAAGCUGAUGCAGGAAAGGCUGCAGCACAUUACUGAGUCGGGUCUUGUCUACUCAGAAGCAUUCCAUAUUCCAACGAGGCAGUUAGAAACUCUUUGAAGUCUGUCCUAGCCGUCUGUUCUUCUUUUAAAUUGUCAAUAAUUUUAACACAGCAAUCAACACA